RNAcentral lists this long non-coding RNA (4443 nucleotides) under Capra hircus (goat). RNAcentral's name for it is "lncRNA (ENSCHIG00010011924.1)". The record is from RNAcentral. Lineage: Eukaryota; Metazoa; Chordata; Mammalia; Artiodactyla; Bovidae.
AUGGCACUGAGCCAAGAUUGCGUUUGCAGAUUCAAAGAGGCCAAAUUUCUUCCCCCCUCUGCCUCCUCUCCCUUUCCCCUGGUAUUAGGAAAUCGGGUUUUCUGUGUACUGGUUAGUUCGUUUUACUUCCCUUUGGUUCUCCCCCCACUGUCAAUUUCUAGGUCAUUGCUGCUCUUAAGACUUCAGCAAUUGGAACAGGGUUGGUUCCGUCAACGAUGCGUGAAGCUGACUUCGAGUCCCUGCUUGGCUUCCGCUGCCCUUGUGGGAGCACAGGCUGAUGUAACCUGCUUUGGGGGAAGGAGGGCCAGCUGCCUUUCUCUGCUGCAGGAAUCCUCUGGGGUGGCAUGGCAGCGUGGACGCUUUGCUCUCAGGACUGUGGGUGAGAGGCCCUCCUCGCUCUGGGCUCUGUCCCCAUCUCCCCAGCCUGGCUGUGCUGUCCUGCCGCCCCCAGCAGUGUCUGGGCCCUACUCCCAGGCUGUUUCUGCCAGCCAGGCAUGGUGCCAGCUGUCUGCUCAGCCGGGUGCCACGGGAAAAUCUCCGGCCGCCCAGGUUGGGGAGCUCCACGGGGAAUGCCCGUGAGCCCGCUCCUCGGUGUCCACUCACCUGUCUUUUCUCUCUCUGCAGCAUCACAGGACAUGGCCCCCACAGCCGCCUAGCCGGGGCCCACCCAGGAGAGGCUUCCUUUUCGGCAUCCUGAAGGCCUGCUCUGGACCUUCCCGGGAAAGUGCCAGCUCGCAGAACCGCUUGACUAAAGGACUGGCUCUCGGGACAUCCCUUAGCCCACCGGCUCCCCCUAGAGUGGGGGUGCCAGGAGCCUGAGAUUAGCCUGCUGGCCUUGGACUGCAGCUCCGGGACAGAAGGGGGGGUGGGCUGACCACCCGAGCCCCCUCUGGGCCCAGGCCCCAUGCCCCGAGGAGAGGCGGCCUGAAGNNNNNNNNNNNNNNNNNNNNNNNNNNNNNNNNNNNNNNNNNNNNNNNNNNNNNNNNNNNNNNNNNNNNNNNNNNNNNNNNNNNNNNNNNNNNNNUGGGUACCCGGUGCCCCCCUACGCCUUCUUCUUCCCCCCCAUGCUGGGUGGACUCUCCCCCCCAGGCGCUCUGACCACUCUCCAGCACCAGCUUCCAGUGAGCGGCUAUAGCACGCCAUCCCCAGCCAGUAAGUGGGGUCGGGGAGUGUCGUGGGAGGGGGCCGUGGAGGGCGGCAGGCCCAAGGCUGGACCUCUGGGCACAUCUCUUCCUCAGCGGCCAGGUCUCCUCCAGACGGGGGGACCUGCUGGACAAGAGGGCUUGAGGAUGAAAGGCCAGUAGGCUAAUCGCCGUGGUUGUGUUUGAUGUUGGGAGGUGGCACGGAGUGUGGAGAGCUGAGACAAUGCUGUCCUCUGGCCCCUCACGCCCCCUCAUGUGCUCUGCCGUUGAGGGCCUUAUAAAUAGCUCCAAGCACUGGACAAGGAGGCUGGAGUCGGGUAAACAAACCUCUCGACAUUUGGUGGGGAUGGCUGGUCUGCUGAGAACAGCACCCCACCUCCAGCCCACCCCAUCCAGCGCCUCUGAGAGAAGGGACUGGAGUAGCACCCCCUCCCCUCACUGCUGGCCAGGCCGGGUGGUGCUUCCCUUUGUGGGGAGGGCGCCGGGGCAGGGGAGGGCCCCACAGGCAGCCUGGGGAUGGGGGGAGAGUCCGGGAGGGGACACAGGCCUGGACUCUGGCUGUGGCCGCAGGCCUGCUCUUGGCAGGGCCUGUGUUUUCUCUCCGCCUCCGCCGUCUGCCAUGGGGGGUCGCCUGUUGGCUGGGUGGGGGUCUCGGUACCCUUCCCUGGCUGGCCGAGCCAGGUAGUGGGAGGUGGCGGCACUGAGGCCAGCUGGCAGAGUCCAGGCCUCGGUCCUGCCAGGCGGCUUACAGUAACUCUGGCCCCCAGGGCCCAGCUGGGCGCCAGGCCAGGGUUUGGGGGAGGAGGGAGCCGGGGCCUGGCCUGGGGCAGGAGGGGGUGGAAGCCAUAGAAGGGGGCCAUGGACGGCGGACUGGCCUGGCCGGUCAGCUGUUGACCUGGGAAACGUGUCCCACCUCUCCUGGCAGGCAGGGACUGAACACCCUGCCCUGGGCACCCACCGCCUCUCCCAUGCCACUGGCAAGCUGCCUGGCACCGCUGCCCUGUGCGCCUGGCUGGGCUGGGUCAGUGCCCCCUUCCCAGCUUGGGGGUAGCGCACUCUCCCCGGAGCCAGGGAGUCUCUUUGUCCCUGGGGCAGGCCCUGGCUCGGAGCCUCACUGCCCGCACUGGCCGGCUGCCCACCGCCACCACUGCUUCCUGGCUCGCCUCCUCUGGCUUGCUCGGUGGCCCCCUCCCUCUCCAGCCCCACCAGCCGCUGAGAGCAGGGGCUCUAAGUCUGUGUUCCUUUAGGUCCCUACCCUCUGUGCCCCGGGGAAGGGGGCAGGCGGAUGCUGCCUCCUCAAACCUCACCUUCUGUUUCCUCCCAUGGAGGGGGCACAGCGGGCAGCAUCGUGACCUGGGAGUCAGAAUGAUUCUGGCCUGGUCUUCAGUCUGUGCUCGGUGAUGGGAGAGGCCAGUCUCUGAGUUAGGGGAUGCUGGAGAAGGGGCGAGUGGGUUUGGGGUGCCUGGGAUCUGUGUGGGAACUGGAGUUCACAUCCCAGUUCCAGGAACUAGAGUGUCUUGCUUCCCGCCAGGGUGGGGUUUUUAGGGAGGGAGAAACCGAGAGCGCUCAGCCUGGUGCUGGUGGACAGCUUGCUCUUCCCCAGGUGAUUGGGAACAGGGCCCUGGACACUGUCCCCCCUGGGGCCUGGCUCACGGAGGGCUGGCCUGACCCCUAUCUUGUGCCGGACAAGCGAGUGUUUUGCUCUCCUUUUUGAAUGUUGCAACCUUCUUCCUCUUUCUUCGAGGUGGGUGGGGAGGGUUUCCGGGUACCCCACCUCCCACCCUGGUAACCUUCUUCCCCCAGGGUGGGGUGCCCACAUUUCUGGUUAAGCAAUGCCCCUUCCUGCCCCCCUCCCUCUGUGAGCCAGUGGGUUUCCCUGCCUCUUCCUGGUAAACAACAACACCUCUGCUUACCCAGACCCCCAGCUUCUGAGCUUCUCCCUGACCUUCCUUCCCCUUAGGUCAGGAACCUCCCCAUCCACCCCGAGGGAGCCAGGCAUCUCCCUCUUCCUCGUGGAAGGCUGCGGGACCUGGUAACCCUGGCUUUCAGCUCUGGGUAGUGCAGCAUGACAAAUCAAAGUUCAGUCCUGGAGGCAGCCUCGCUCCUCCCACCUGAGGGCCAGUGCUGGGGGCCAGGCAUUUCCCAGGAGGGUGGACAGCUGUGGCCCCCAUCCCCACCAGGAGUGAUUAUAUGUUCUGGUCCCCUGCCACCCAUUCUGCAGGCAGCCUGGCACAGGAGGCCCCCUCCUCCCACUUGCCGCCAACAAAGGUGUUGUCCAUCCUUCCAUCCCUCUCGCCAAGCUGGGGUGGGGGGAGGCUGGACCCUGGGUGUGCUUCAGAGACUCAGUGGCCUGUGGAAGGACAGAACUGUUCUCUAGGUCAGUGGCGACGGGUGGGUAUUUGUCCUGCUGUUGUCUCUCUCUCCCGGGAAGCCAGAGUGGGAAGUUCCAGGGAUGGUACAAGAUCUCCCCCUCCAAACCAGUCCUGGAGGCUUGGUCUCUUGAGGACUGGUAUUUACUGUGGAGGCUUGGGAUUCUGUGUGCCUUGUUGGGAGGGUCAGGGUUGUGUGUGUUUUGGGAGGGAGGUGAGGGUUGGGUGUGUUUUAGGGGUGGGGAGGUCAAGGUUGGGUGUGUGCUGGGGAGGGGGUCAAUGGCUUAAAAGUAUUGGGUGAGAGGGUCAGAGUGUGUUUGAGGAGAAUCAGAUCCAGAGCCAGGAGGGGUGUCAAUGUGUUUGUGUGCUGCAGGGGGAGGUGACUUAGGGCACUGAAUGUGUAAGGGGGAGGGGUCUGUGAUUGUGUUGUGUGUUUGGAGGGGGAAGGGUCUCUUUCUUAUCGCUAGUCUAGGCUGGAGAGGAAACGCACCUGCCUUUUUUUAUUGCUUGCCCUGGGAAUUCCAUGAGGUGGGAGGGGUUGCUGUGGAGUAGGCUGUGUAGCUUGAGUUCUGGCUUUGCCAUUUACUAAGUGUGACAACCUCUCCGAGCGUGUUUCCUCGUCUGUAAAACAGGGAUCUAAGCAGAACCUCCCUCAGACGGCUGAGGUUAGGCAAGAUCGCCGACGUAAUGCACUCUGCUCCUGGUCUUGCAUGCGCUCAUGGCUGUCUCGUGGCCGUGGUACCCGGGUGUUAUGACGGGAAGAGGAUCGUGACCCUUUUCUGGGUGGGAGCUGGAGAGAAUGGGAUGCUAACAUCUGUGGAGCGCCCACUGUGUGCCUGGGACCUUAUCUCUGUUUUACAAAUCUGAAUCCCGACAAUCUAGGAGAGGGACAUUAUCUCCAUUUACACCUGAGGAAACAGCGCUGGUGGUUA